This is a long non-coding RNA of Malaclemys terrapin pileata, 1462 nucleotides long. RefSeq lists it as uncharacterized. The transcript has 5 exons. The record is from RefSeq and is a predicted model, not a curated record. Lineage: Eukaryota; Metazoa; Chordata; Testudines; Emydidae.
UUGUGUGUCCCACAUGACAGCAUUUCCCCUGUCUUUCACAUGGGCAGUAUUUAGUUCAAUUCAGAACUGCAGAUAGUACAGCUUGCACAGCAGCAAUGGGAUGUCUGAGCACAAGUGGCUGACUUCCGAGUGACUUUAUGAAGCACUUUUGUACUUUCCUUGUGCAUUAAAUUGGGAUCUGCAUCCUUGACAUUCACCCACCACACUCAUCUCUACUGAAGGAAACAGUGCAGUAUGAAACUGCCCUAUGCUCAAAUAUCACAAAGAAGGGCAUAAGAAGCACUGAACAGAAUAUGAAGGCAAAAUUCCUGUUGACUUCCAUGUUUAUCUGCACCAGAGGAAUUGGAGCAGAAUUGCAGACCAACAAAUGAAGUGAGCUGAAGGCAAUUUGACCAAUGUUUUCUGUGUGAAUUCCACAGAGGCUGAUGAAGCAUGUUAUCAGGUCUCCAAGGUACAACACAGACAUUAGUCAGUUGUGCCAUAAAAUUAAGACAUUAUUAGGGUCCAGUGUCAAUACAUUAUGAAGAUGUGGCAUUUGAGAGGGUUUUCUUUUAAAUGGAGGAACACCAUGGAGAAUGGAACAGAAGAACAGAUUUUUAAGGAUGCUGUCAAGUCAGUGGAGUUCUCUUUUUAGUGGUUGCUUCAGUGAACAUUCAACGCUGUCGGUGAGUUUGGAAUUAAAGUGAAAACCAUCGACCGUUGAUUGUACCCUCCAGCUAACCAUCAUCCUCCUUACUUCAUGCUUUCAGGCCUUUCACUGAAGACAGCUGCCAAACCAGCACACAAGGUAUCUCUUCCCCCCACCCCAUCCUCUUUGCAGAGCUUUACUAAAAAGGUCACAAUCAACAUUCAUUGCUGUCGGUGGGUUUAACUAUGUGGACAAGCUCACUGAACAAUGAAUGCAACUGUGGCCCCACUUUUUGUGAUCACAGUCAAGAGGAAUAUUAGCUCUGAAAGCAGCACUGAAAGUCUUUCAUAUAUGAAACUUUUCUGAUCAAGAGACGAAUAUCUUCAGGAUUUUUUUUUUUUUUUUAAGCUGGUUUGACUCAGAUGGUUGAGACAACACUCAUUCCUCCCUGGAGUUGAUUACAACAUAAAGGGAGCUCAUUCUGCCAUUAAUCUCUCUUACUUACUACAGAUAUUAACAAAAACUCUGGUAUAGAAAAAGCCUCCCUGUAUGCACCCCCGAGGACUCUGAACACAGGAGGAGAGAUGGUUGAAAACGCCUCUAAAAAUAUAUAUAAUAAUAAAAUAAAAUCUAUGCACUGCAACAUUGCACAUGCAGAGAGAUGAUGGCUAUGUGUGUCCUUGGCAAAACAAGACAAACUCACCCCAAAAUUUCUUACAAAUGGGAGCCUUAGUUAAAGAAUGGCGAUAAUAUUCCUGAUCUUGGUGUAAUACAAUUAACUGCUUUGUGAAGUUUAUUUAAACACCUAAUAAACAUUAAAAAACACAAACCUUA